ACGUAGGGAGCAAGCGUUGUCCGGAUUUACUGGGUGUAAAGGGUGCGUAGGCGGAUUGGCAAGUCAGAAGUGAAAUCCAUGGGCUUAACCCAUGAACUGCUUUUGAAACUGUUAGUCUUGAGUGAAGUAGAGGUAGGCGGAAUUCCCGGUGUAGCGGUGAAAUGCGUAGAGAUCGGGAGGAACACCAGUGGCGAAGGCGGCCUACUGGGCUUUAACUGACGCUGAGGCACGAAAGUGUGGGUAGCAAACAG
This 251-nucleotide ribosomal RNA is filed under the name uncultured bacterium. RNAcentral describes it as "partial 16S ribosomal RNA". It matches the Rfam family "Bacterial small subunit ribosomal RNA", at positions 525 to 775 of the family's 1533-position model. The record is from RNAcentral.